Molecule: RNase P RNA, 161 nt
Filed under: Halieaceae bacterium
Lineage: Bacteria; Pseudomonadati; Pseudomonadota; Gammaproteobacteria; Cellvibrionales; Halieaceae
Description: partial RNase P RNA component class A
Rfam family: Bacterial RNase P class A
About the family: Ribonuclease P (RNase P) is a ubiquitous endoribonuclease, found in archaea, bacteria and eukarya as well as chloroplasts and mitochondria. Its best characterised activity is the generation of mature 5'-ends of tRNAs by cleaving the 5'-leader elements of precursor-tRNAs. Cellular RNase Ps are ribonucleoproteins.
Source: RNAcentral
AGGCGUGGCGAUGGUAAACCCCACUCGGAGCAAGACCAAAUAGGAAUCCGUCAGCUGUGGCCCGCAGUGGAUUCGGGUAGGUCGCUACAGGCAGGUGGUGACACCUGUCGCAGAUGAAUGAUCGUCCUCGACAGAACCCGGCUUAUCGACCGACUCUUUUU